This 428-nucleotide ribosomal RNA is filed under the name uncultured cyanobacterium. RNAcentral's name for it is "bacterial SSU rRNA". It matches the Rfam family "Bacterial small subunit ribosomal RNA", at positions 356 to 795 of the family's 1533-position model. The record is from RNAcentral. Lineage: Bacteria; Bacillati; Cyanobacteriota.
GGGGAAUUUUCCGCAAUGGGCGAAAGCCUGACGGAGCAAUACCGCGUGAGGGAGGAAGGCUCUUGGGUUGUAAACCUCUUUUCUACAGGGAAUAAGAANCUGAAGGUACCUGAGGAAUCAGCAUCGGCUAACUCCGUGCCAGCAGCCGCGGUAAUANCGGAGGAUGCAAGCGUUAUCCGGAAUGAUUGGGCGUAAAGCGUCCGCAGGUGGUUUAUCAAGUCUGCUGUCAAAGAGUUUGGCUCAACCAAAUAAAGGCAGUGGAAACUGACAGACUGGAGUGCGGUAAGGGCAGAGGGAAUUCCUGGUGUAGCGGUGAAAUGCGUAGAGAUCAGGAAGAACACCGGUGGCGAAAGCGCUCUGUCUGGGCCGUAACUGACACUGAGGGACGAAAGCUAGGGGAGCGAAUGGGAUUAGAUACCCCAGUAGUC